AUGCGCAUAUUAUGCUUCCCUUCACACGUUUACUCGCUAGUUUUGUCUCCUAGAAUAUUUCAGAACUUGACCCUUUUUUGUGACUUCCGGCAAAAAAAUGACAAAGAUGUGCUGAUAAUUAAAGUGCAGCUCCCCGCAAAGUCACGUACAGGGAGCGCGGCCGUCACCCCACGCCCAGGCUCGCCCUCGCUCAGUGGUCCAGACGCUCGGGAGGUCUGGAAAGGUCCCUCUCCCUCCCACGGCGGCAGAAAUCUUCCACGCAGGCCUCCAGGCUGCAGCUCAGGCCCCAGUGGCUCCCGCCGGCCUCCAGAGGCCUUCCCAGCCGGCCUCGGCCCCGCCCCAGGACGCGAUCUGGGCGUUUGUUCUGGGGGCUUUGGGCGAGCUUGUGUUUUCUCAAGUCUGCACAUCUCUUUCCGAGGGCUUCUCGUUGUUUGUGUUGGAAAUAAGCAACUUUCGCUUCUGGCAGGGGGCCAGAGCCCCCUUCGCCUCUGGAGGAGGAGACCAGACUGGUGCCAGCAGGGGCCACGGACAGACCCCUGCCACCGCCAGCAGCACCUCCUCCACCCAAGAGCCCAGUGUCGUCCUUCGCAGACCCUACCAAAGGCAAACGGUGUGGGAGGGGUUGGACCCAGUGCGCUGCCCAGGCGGGCGCCUCUCGGGGCGGCAUCCCUGUCCCUUCGCAGUCUUCUCUCCACAGUGCCCGGUCACUCGCCCCUGCUUUUCGUUCUCCCACUCCCCCGCUGCCUGUCGGGGGAACCUAACCACCCCCCCACGACAGGUUUGACAGCCAAGGGGACACCCUGGAGGGCCGGGUGGUGGUUUCUUUUCAAAUCCCUUUCUUACUUAGAAACUAAAGGGGAACAAUGGAAGAAUAAAGACAUUGAGGUCCUUCUCUGUGUGCCCGGACUAGGGGUUCAGGCUGCCAGGGUCUGCAGGUCCCAUCCUCAUGCCUCGACGGUCACCCUGGGACCUGCUCUCAGCGCUGGCCCCACAGCCAGGCUUCCCUCCAGCCCAGCCUAA
Molecule: long non-coding RNA, 1020 nt
Filed under: Oryctolagus cuniculus (rabbit)
Lineage: Eukaryota; Metazoa; Chordata; Mammalia; Lagomorpha; Leporidae
Description: lncRNA (ENSOCUG00000036177.1)
Source: RNAcentral